AUUUUAAUAACCGAUUUUGCCUUUAGAUAUAACUAUCUUCGUUUAUUCCUAGGUUUCUUGGCUUCCAGCUUUCGACGAGCUUGUCUCCUCGUUUCGUCUCUUGUUGUCAUCCUUGAAUAUAUUGCCAAAUCGAGGAUGAAAAAAAGGUCAGUGAUCCUAAGAAAAUCGCUAAAAAAAGUCAGUGAUCCUACGAAAAUCGCUUACUUCAGAUUCUCAAAAAGGUUUAGGCUUUUGAUUUUUCUUUUUCUUUUAAGGAUGUGAAUAGUUGUUUCGUCCAUAGAUUCAAGAAGUUGGAUCUUGAUUUAAUUAUGUUCUCGUUAGUAAAAUUGUAUAGACAAGUUAUAUCAGUGCAGUUAAUUGCUUCUCUACACAACUUUUCAGGUUUUUUUUGCACAUAGAAAAUGCUCCCCCUAAUUUGUUUCAAUGAUGUUAUCUUAUGCAUGUCUCUGUAUGAUAAUUUGAUAAGAGCUGGUUUGGGACAAAUAGUGCCAUAGCCAGAUACCACACAAUUCCAUUCUUGUACAAGAGCUUGUAACUUUGAUCUCGAUUACUUUUUUUACAGUAAAAUUGCUGAUCAUCCACCGCUGGUAAUACUCGGGUGUUCUUAUAUUAUUACUCAAAACAAAGAGUAAGAAGAAGGACAAUUCAAAAAUUGUGAACUGGUCAUUGAAAAGCAGUAACACCAGAAUCAGAGUGUAUCUUUGGAAUAGUAGCACCAGCAUUUCUACAAAUUAUAAGUUGAUACAUCAAACAAUUUUUGGAAAAGUAAAAAUUUAAUUCGUACGAUCAUGCUUUACAAAAAGUUGGUACAUCAAAACAUUUGGUGGUACUAAGCAUCCAAACAUCAUCAAUAUCCAGUACGUGAAAACAAACUAAAGAUAAUGGUUAUUAGUGUGAUUGGUGCUGCUUGGUUACUUAGUACCACCAAAUCUUUUUAAUAUUAGUUUGAUUAAGAAAUAACGACUGUCGAAAAAUUAACAACAACAGGCUUGUGAUUGUAUGUUCUCUCCUCUGGGUAUGGCAGAGGGAGUUAUGGAAAUGAGAGAGGCUUUGUGUCUCUUUUCUAUCCAAUGUUCAGACUUUUUGCAUAUAGAAAAUGCUCUCAAAUUGGUUUCAGUGAUCAUAUAGACUUCAAUAUGACUCAUAUGUGUUUUCAGCUGCUUAUAUACAUAUAAAGCAGAUCACUACCAUCUUAAUUUGCUUAUUUAUACGCAGGUUUAUGGGCAUAUAUAUGAUCUGCAUCUUUAAUAUUUCUACAAAGGAAUGUUGUUAUCCUCUUCUUAUAUUCUUAUUCACCCAAAUCACUCAUAUCUGGCUUAUUAUUGUAGUGGAAGAUCUCAGGUUUAUUUUUAGCAUCUGCAAUUUCCAAGAGAAGAGCACAGAGUUCUUGAGGCUUGGAGAACAUUGCCAUAUGAUCUGCAUCUUUGAUCUCCAUAACUUCUUUUGGUAGAAAGUUGCUAAUCGAUCAUACAACGCUGGUAAUCCUCAGGUAACGUUAGAUCCUCUCCACAUACUAUAUAUACGAGUAACAGAUCAUACCUUUCCUCGCUAAAGCUUUUUGUACCUGCCAGAUUGUGUGUAACUAUCGGGUUUACACUCACCAACAUUUUCGCCAACACAUGCAAGAUCCUAACAUGCCACAACAACAAUCAACAAAAGAUUGAGCACUGAGGUUACUAGCAAAUCUCCAUUGACGCUAAUGAUUGUCAAAUCUGGCAAUGGAGACCUUGGAUUUCAAUUUCCUGAUCUCUUUGUUUUAGAAGAAACCAAGAUAAUCCUGGAGAUAUCAAUAGGGUGUACUAGUAUGGAAUCUCGAAUCAGUAGAGAGUAAUAGUAACAUAAGUUUAUUAAAUUAAAAAAGAUGAUGCCUUUGUUUUUUUGUUUUUAAUGAAACCAAAAGAGAUGGUUAAAGCUGGCAAUAGGGUGUACUAAUUCACAAUGGAAACUUUAAAC
Molecule: long non-coding RNA, 1953 nt
Filed under: Eutrema salsugineum
Lineage: Eukaryota; Viridiplantae; Streptophyta; Magnoliopsida; Brassicales; Brassicaceae
Description: long non-coding RNA (ESAL_LNC001458)
Source: RNAcentral